CCCUGCUUCCACAGACUCCUGACUGACCAGCAGUUGCUGUUGCUCCUGACCAGGGUAGGGGUCUGGACCUUCCCUUGUUGCAGCCUGUGCUGCUGUUUUCUAGCUGGUCGUGAAGAACUCCAGGCUGCUGCUCUAUCCUGAGAGGCAGCAGUGGGUUGGGCUGGAGAGUGGCUUGACAGGGGUGGCGGUGUACUAUUGGAGGCCCAACACAGUGUUGAGAACAUAACCAGGAUCCCACCUUUUUUCUUAUCCACUUUCCCACAUCUAUAAAGGCCCUAUGUUCGAGUAACCUUCCUGCCAACCGAGGCUGAAGGCAGCUCCCGAGAUAUUUAUUUCACAGCCUUUUGCCCACACAACUAAAUGCACCUCCCUUCCCCAGGGCGGAUCUUGCUGCCUGUAAGUGAUCCCAGCUACAGGGAAUGAAGGUAAUCCUCAAAGAGAGAAAAAGGUAUAAAAAUGGAGAACUCACAACACACAAAUUACCUCUUUCCCCCCCAUCUCGGCUCACGGUAGCAACAAUGCUUGAAAGAAUAAAGGAAGCUUUUGGAAUCAGGGCAAAGGAUCCUAGCUGCAAGGCGUUCCAUUGAGCACAGACUGUUGUAAGCUGUUGGGUGAGGAAAAAAACCUUUUUGUUUUUGUUUUUCUUGUUUUUCAAGAUCACUUAGCUUGGGAAAGUUUAAGAAUUAGCUUGCAUGUUUAUCUUUUAAUUAGUUUUGUAACCAAUUCUGACUUUUAGGCCAGACCACUUAUAAUCACUUAAAAUGUAUCUCUCUAGUUAAUGAUCUUGCUUUAUUGGUUUAUCUAAACCAGUGUGUUUGAUUGAAGUGUUUGGGAAAUGUCUACUCAGGUCAACAGGGCUGGUGCGUAUUCAAAGUCCUAUCACUUUCCAACCUGGUGCGUAUUCAUUAUCCAUUGUUGGAUUGAUGGACUUAUUAUGAGCAUGUAUGGUCCAGUGGGCUACUGAACAGUACAAGAUGCAUAUUUCUGGGGGGUAAGGCUGGGACUGAGGGAUGUGCAAGUGUCACCCUGUAUCUAUUCAUGGAUGGCUCAGUGAGCAUUCAUGUAUUCAGCUGGGAGUGACUCUACAUGCUAGUGGCUGUGAGUGACUAGAGCUUGGAGGGGUUGCUGUUCUGACAGUAAAGCAGUAUAAAAGGCAUCCCAGUUCAGGUUGCACCCUGGGGAAUGUCACACAUAGACAACUUCUUGCU
Chelonia mydas (Green sea turtle) is the source of this 1208-nucleotide long non-coding RNA. RefSeq lists it as uncharacterized. The record is from RefSeq and is a predicted model, not a curated record. The transcript has 4 exons. Lineage: Eukaryota; Metazoa; Chordata; Testudines; Cheloniidae.